This 492-nucleotide ribosomal RNA is filed under the name uncultured bacterium. RNAcentral's name for it is "partial 16S ribosomal RNA". It matches the Rfam family "Bacterial small subunit ribosomal RNA", at positions 29 to 507 of the family's 1533-position model. The record is from RNAcentral.
AGUGAACGCUGGCGGUAGGCCUAACACAUGCAAGUCGAACGGCAGCACAGUAAGAGCUUGCUCUUACGGGUGGCGAGUGGCGGACGGGUGAGGAAUACAUCGGAAUCUACUUUUUCGUGGGGGAUAACGUAGGGAAACUUACGCUAAUACCGCAUACGACCUACGGGUGAAAGCAGGGGAUCUUCGGUCCUUGCGCGAUUGAAUGAGCCGAUGUCGGAUUAGCUAGUUGGUGGGGUAAAGGCCCACCAAGGCGACGAUCCGUAGCUGGUCUGAGAGGAUGAUCAGCCACACUGGAACUGAGACACGGUCCAGACUCCUACGGGAGGCAGCAGUGGGGAAUAUUGGACAAUGGGCGCAAGCCUGAUCCAGCCAUACCGCGUGGGUGAAGAAGGCCUUCGGGUUGUAAAGCCCUUUUGUUGGGAAAGAAAAGCAGCAGGUUAAUACCCCGCUGUUCUGACGGUACCCAAAGAAUAAGCACCGGCUAACUUCGUG